CGCUGGCGGCGUGCCUAACACAUGCAAGUCGAACGGACGAGGGGAGCUUGCUCCCCAAGUUAGUGGCGGACGGGUGAGUAACACGUGAGCAACCUGCCCUUCGAGGGGGACAACAGCCGGAAACGGCUGCUAAUACCGCAUGACAUAUCCUUGAGGCAUCUCGGGGAUAUCAAAGAUUUAUCGCCGAAGGAUGGGCUCGCGUCUGAUUAGCUGGUUGGUGAGGUAACGGCCCACCAAGGCGACGAUCAGUAGCCGGACUGAGAGGUUGAACGGCCACAUUGGGACUGAGAUACGGCCCAGACUCCUACGGGAGGCAGCAGUGGGGAAUAUUGGGCAAUGGGGGGCCAACCCUGACCCAGCAACGCCGCGUGAAGGAAGAAGGCUUUCGGGUUGUAAACUUCUUUGACGAGGGACGAUAAUGACGGUACCUCGAAAACAAGCCACGGCUAACUACGUGCCAGCCGCUGC
Molecule: ribosomal RNA, 468 nt
Filed under: uncultured bacterium
Lineage: Bacteria
Description: bacterial SSU rRNA
Rfam family: Bacterial small subunit ribosomal RNA
Source: RNAcentral